UCAUAAGCGGGAGGAAAAGANAACCAACAGGGAUUGCUCUAGUAACGGCGAGUGAAGCAGCAAUAGCUCAAAUUUGAAAUCUGGCGUCUUCGACGUCCGAGUUGUAAUUUGUAGAGGAUGCUUCUGAGUAACCACCGACCUAAGUUCCUUGGAACAGGACGUCAUAGAGGGUGAGAAUCCCGUAUGCGGUCGGAAAGGUGCUCUAUACGUAGCUCCUUCGACGAGUCGAGUUGUUUGGGAAUGCAGCUCUAAAUGGGAGGUAAAUUUCUUCUAAAGCUAAAUAUUGGCCAGAGACCGAUAGCGCACAAGUAGAGUGAUCGAAAGAUGAAAAGCACUUUGGAAAGAGAGUUAAAAAGCACGUGAAAUUGUUAAAAGGGAAGGGAUUGCAACCAGACUUGCUCGCGGUGUUCCGCCGGUCUUCUGACCGGUCUACUCGCCGCGUUGCAGGCCAGCAUCGUCUGGUGCCGCUGGAUAAGACUUGAGGAAUGUAGCUCCCUCGGGAGUGUUAUAGCCUCUUGUGAUGCAGCGAGCGCCGGGCGAGGUCCGCGCUUCGGCUAGGAUGCUGGCGUAAUGGUCGUAAUCCGCCCGUCUUGAAACACGGACCAAGGAGUCUAACAUCUAUGCGAGUGUUCGGGUGUCAAACCCCUACGCGUAAUGAAAGUGAACGGAGGUGAGAACCGCAAGGUGCAUCAUCGACCGAUCCUGAUGUCUUCGGAUGGAUUUGAGUAAGAGCAUAGCUGUUGGGACCCGAAAGAUGGUGAACUAUGCCUGAAUAGGGUGAAGCCAGAGGAAACUCUGGUGGAGGCUCGCAGCGGUUCUGACGUGCAAAUCGAUCGUCAAAUUUGGGUAUAGGGGCGAAAGACUAAUCGAACCAU
RNAcentral lists this ribosomal RNA (875 nucleotides) under Cladosporium herbarum. Its description in RNAcentral is "eukaryotic LSU rRNA". It matches the Rfam family "Eukaryotic large subunit ribosomal RNA", at positions 43 to 943 of the family's 3401-position model. The record is from RNAcentral. Lineage: Eukaryota; Fungi; Ascomycota; Dothideomycetes; Cladosporiales; Cladosporiaceae.